Molecule: non-coding RNA, 367 nt
Organism: Arachis ipaensis
Lineage: Eukaryota; Viridiplantae; Streptophyta; Magnoliopsida; Fabales; Fabaceae
Source: RefSeq, a predicted model, not a curated record
UCUUACUACUCUGAAAUCGAAUCCACCAUCACUCUCAGUCUCACUCUCAGUGCUCUGAAUUUUUCAAUCUCGCUCUGCCUCCUCAAUCUCUCAGUUCUCUGAAUCUUUCAUUCUUGUUCUGCCUCCUCAAUUUUUGGUUUUGCCUCUUCUCGAUCUCUCACUCUGCCUCAUCGAUCUCAUGCAUGAUUCAAUCGCAGACUCAAUCUCAUUCCAGUAAGGUCAAAUUAAAGGAGAUGUUUAAUUUGAGGAGGUAGGAACCCUAAAAUUGAUUGUGAUGGGGCGAGGAAAGAUUGCGAUUCGAAGGAUCGACAAUUCAACAAGCCGGCAAGUAACAUUUUCGAAGAGAAGGAAUGGAUUGCUGAAGAAA